This 469-nucleotide ribosomal RNA is filed under the name uncultured bacterium. RNAcentral describes it as "partial 16S ribosomal RNA". It matches the Rfam family "Bacterial small subunit ribosomal RNA", at positions 28 to 507 of the family's 1533-position model. The record is from RNAcentral.
GACGAACGCUGGCGGCGUGCUUAACACAUGCAAGUCGAACGGAAAGGCCCUGCUUGCAGGGUGCUCGAGUGGCGAACGGGUGAGUAACACGUGGGUGAUCUGCCCCUUAUUUUGGGAUAAGCCUGGGAAACUGGGUCUAAUACUGGAUAGGACCAUGCUGUAGGUGGUGUGGUGGAAAGAUUAGUUUCGGUAAGGGAUGAGCUCGCGGCCUAACAGCUUGUUGGUGGGGUAAUGGCCUACCAAGGCGUCGACGGGUAGCCGGCCUGAGAGGGUGGACGGCCACAUUGGGACUGCGAUACGGCCCAGACGCCUACGGGAGGCAGCAGUGGGGAAUAUUGCACAAUGGGCGCAAGCCUGAUGCAGCGACGCCGCGUGGGGGAUGACGGCCUUCGGGUUGUAAACUCCUUUCAGCCAUGACGAAGCCCUUGUGGUGACGGUAGUGGUAGAAGAAGCACCGGCUAACUACGUG